This 711-nucleotide ribosomal RNA is filed under the name Bacillus amyloliquefaciens. Its description in RNAcentral is "bacterial SSU rRNA". It matches the Rfam family "Bacterial small subunit ribosomal RNA", at positions 55 to 748 of the family's 1533-position model. The record is from RNAcentral. Lineage: Bacteria; Bacillati; Bacillota; Bacilli; Caryophanales; Bacillaceae.
AUGCAAGUCGAGCGGACAGAUGGGAGCUUGCUCCCUGAUGUUAGCGGCGGACGGGUGAGUAACACGUGGGUAACCUGCCUGUAAGACUGGGAUAACUCCGGGAAACCGGGGCUAAUACCGGAUGGUUGUCUGAACCGCAUGGUUCAGACAUAAAAGGUGGCUUCGGCUACCACUUACAGAUGGACCCGCGGCGCAUUAGCUAGUUGGUGAGGUAACGGCUCACCAAGGCGACGAUGCGUAGCCGACCUGAGAGGGUGAUCGGCCACACUGGGACUGAGACACGGCCCAGACUCCUACGGGAGGCAGCAGUAGGGAAUCUUCCGCAAUGGACGAAAGUCUGACGGAGCAACGCCGCGUGAGUGAUGAAGGUUUUCGGAUCGUAAAGCUCUGUUGUUAGGGAAGAACAAGUGCCGUUCAAAUAGGGCGGCGCCUUGACGGUACCUAACCAGAAAGCCACGGCUAACUACGUGCCAGCAGCCGCGGUAAUACGUAGGUGGCAAGCGUUGUCCGGAAUUAUUGGGCGUAAAGGGCUCGCAGGCGGUUUCUUAAGUCUGAUGUGAAAGCCCCCGGCUCAACCGGGGAGGGUCAUUGGAAACUGGGGAACUUGAGUGCAGAAGAGGAGAGUGGAAUUCCACGUGUAGCGGUGAAAUGCGUAGAGAUGUGGAGGAACACCAGUGGCGAAGGCGACUCUCUGGUCUGUAACUGACGCUG